AGAGAUGCAUUGGGCGUAAAGUGUGCGCAGGCGGUUUUGUAAGACAGAGGUGAAAUCCCCGGGCUCAACCUGGGAACUGCCUUUGUGACUGCAAGGCUGGAGUGCGGCAGAGGGGGAUGGAAUUCCGCGUGUAGCAGUGAAAUGCAUAGAUAUGCGGAGGAACACCGAUGGCGAAGGCAAUCCCCUGGGCCUGCACUGACGCUCAUGCACGAAAGCGUGGGGAGCAAACA
This 230-nucleotide ribosomal RNA is filed under the name uncultured Alicycliphilus sp. RNAcentral's name for it is "partial 16S ribosomal RNA". It matches the Rfam family "Bacterial small subunit ribosomal RNA", at positions 548 to 774 of the family's 1533-position model. The record is from RNAcentral. Lineage: Bacteria; Pseudomonadati; Pseudomonadota; Betaproteobacteria; Burkholderiales; Comamonadaceae.